RNAcentral lists this unclassified non-coding RNA (195 nucleotides) under fungal sp. RNAcentral's name for it is "partial internal transcribed spacer region". The stretch from base 1 to 46 matches the Rfam family "Eukaryotic small subunit ribosomal RNA", at positions 1786 to 1831 of the family's 1831-position model. Lineage: Eukaryota; Fungi. The record is from RNAcentral.
AAGUCGUAACAAGGUAUCCGUAGGUGAACCUGCGGAUGGAUCAUUACAAAAAUCUGAAACUACUUCGUUUCAAUUUACCAAAUGUGAACUGUUUGAAGUAUUAAUUUACUUCUAAUCAUUUUAUUAAACACUUAAACUUAUAACACACAACGUAUGAAAUGCAUAAAACUUUUAGCAAUGGAUCUCUGGGCUCUC